This 274-nucleotide ribosomal RNA is filed under the name uncultured Staphylococcus sp. RNAcentral describes it as "partial 16S ribosomal RNA". It matches the Rfam family "Bacterial small subunit ribosomal RNA", at positions 505 to 778 of the family's 1533-position model. Lineage: Bacteria; Bacillati; Bacillota; Bacilli; Caryophanales; Staphylococcaceae. The record is from RNAcentral.
GUGCCAGCAGCCGCGGUAAUACGUAGGUGGCAAGCGUUAUCCGGAAUUAUUGGGCGUAAAGCGCGCGUAGGCGGUUUUUUAAGUCUGAUGUGAAAGCCCACGGCCCAACCGUGGAGGGUCAUUGGAAACUGGAAAACUUGAGUGCAGAAGAGGAAAGUGGAAUUCCAUGUGUAGCGGUGAAAUGCGCAGAGAUAUGGAGGAACACCAGUGGCGAAGGCGACUUUCUGGUCUGUAACUGACGCUGAUGUGCGAAAGCGUGGGGAUCAAACAGGAU